This 157-nucleotide small RNA is filed under the name Chrysemys picta bellii (western painted turtle). Its description in RNAcentral is "TUC338 (ENSCPBG00000014242.1)". The record is from RNAcentral. Lineage: Eukaryota; Metazoa; Chordata; Testudines; Emydidae.
UUGACAGUCCAGAAAAGUGAAGUUUAUCCCCAGAAAAGGAACAACAGUAAAGUCUUAUUCACUCCGCCCUAUCGUACUAACAUGCCUCAACUUUGUACCAAAAGGGAUAAGGUGAGAUGGUAGUUCAGUCUCCAUGCUCAUUCAGUCCUUGUCCUCU